GCAGUAGCCGCGGGAAUACCAGCAGCCCAAGUGGUGGUCGCGUUUAUUGGGCCUAAAGCGCUCGUAGCCUGACCGGUAAGUUCCCCGUGAAAUCGGGUCGCCCAACGAUUCGGCUUGCGGGGAAUACUGUCGGUCUUGGGGCCGGGAGACGCCGAGGGUACUCCGGGGGUAGCGGUGAAAUGCUGUAAUCCUCGGGGGACUACCAGUGGCGAAGGCGCUCGGCGAUAACGGGCCUGACGGUGAGGGGCGGAAGCUGGGGGCGCGAACGGGAUUAGAUACCCGCGUAGUCCCUGUCUCUUAUA
This 302-nucleotide ribosomal RNA is filed under the name uncultured bacterium. RNAcentral's name for it is "partial 16S ribosomal RNA". It matches the Rfam family "Archaeal small subunit ribosomal RNA", at positions 458 to 759 of the family's 1478-position model. The record is from RNAcentral.